UAGAAAUGCAAGACUCAGGCCAAAUUAGAAAAGUUAUGAACCACCAAGGAAGAACACUUGAUGAGUUUAUAAAUCCAAACUCAUACUACUAUCACCUCACAGAUUUCCAUAUAUGCAAAAAUCAUAUGGUUAGCACAAUUUGAUUGAAAAAGAGCCCCAAUUAUAUUAAGUAGAACCAUGGAACAUUAUCUAGUCAAUCAUCAAUUCUCAAUAACCAUG
Molecule: unclassified non-coding RNA, 219 nt
Filed under: Hevea brasiliensis (rubber tree)
Lineage: Eukaryota; Viridiplantae; Streptophyta; Magnoliopsida; Malpighiales; Euphorbiaceae
Source: RNAcentral